CUAGUGUACUCGCGAAGGGUAGCACCCUAACUCGCACACGCACACGCGCGCGCGCGCGUGGCGUGGGCGAUGAGGCGCAAUGUGGCGCUUUGAUGGCGCACUUUGCGCUUCGCAUCGCCGCGAGCCGCCUUUAUAUUUUUGACCGCGCACGCGUGGUGGAGCACAAGGGUUGCAAGGACCAAGUGGUAGGUGAUGUGGUGCAUGACAUGGCAGUCAUGCGCAAACGCGCGCGAGCGAGUACACAUGAGCGCGCGGUUGCGCACAUGGUGCAUGGGCCUGAUGUGAUGUGCGCGGCGCACCAAGUGAGCCAAAACGGCGCGACUGUGUGGCGUGCUCGUAGAGGCUCACAGGUGACGUGGCGCACGCGCGCAGGCGCGCAUGGACCUGAGUGAGUAUGGCACACGCGCGCAUGGCAGUGAGCCAAGUGGACGCACCGCGCAUGAGGGUGCAGACCUGCGCGCGCACCAGUGUGUCUUGCGCGCGCGCGGAAGCUUCCUGCUGCAGUUAAUGCCAGUGUAGUUACAUUCAGGCUUAGCGUAUGCUGUGAGCAAGCUAUGUAGAUACACUAGUAAUCCGAGCGAGGAUCAUUGGAAAGCUAUCACGAGGGUGCUCAGAUACAUAAGAUACACGAGAGACUACGGAUUGCAUUAUACCCGUGAUCCAGCAGUGAUCGAAGGAUACACUGACG
RNAcentral lists this long non-coding RNA (688 nucleotides) under Helianthus annuus (common sunflower). Its description in RNAcentral is "hypothetical non coding rna". The record is from RNAcentral. Lineage: Eukaryota; Viridiplantae; Streptophyta; Magnoliopsida; Asterales; Asteraceae.